CAGGGUAUACACAAAAGAAUGGUGCGGUUUCAAAAGUUAAUAAAAAAAUAUUUUUUUUAUUAACUUUUGAAACCGCACCAUUCUUUUGUGUAU
Molecule: microRNA precursor, 93 nt
Filed under: Zootermopsis nevadensis
Lineage: Eukaryota; Metazoa; Arthropoda; Insecta; Blattodea; Termopsidae
Description: microRNA mir-75
Source: RNAcentral